CGAACGCUGGCGGCGUGCUUAACACAUGCAAGUCGAACGCUGAAACCAGAGCUUGCUCUGGUGGGUGAGUGGCGAACGGGUGAGUAACACGUGAGUAACCUGCCCCCGACUCUGGGAUAAGCGCUGGAAACGGCGUCUAAUACCGGAUAUGAGCAAUCACCGCAUGGUGUGUUGCUGGAAAGAUUUAUCGGUUGGGGAUGGACUCGCGGCCUAUCAGCUAGUUGGUGAGGUAAUGGCUCACCAAGGCGACGACGGGUAGCCGGCCUGAGAGGGUGACCGGCCACACUGGGACUGAGACACGGCCCAGACUCCUACGGGAGGCAGCAGUGGGGAAUAUUGCACAAUGGGCGCAAGCCUGAUGCAGCAACGCCGCGUGAGGGAUGACGGCCUUCGGGUUGUAAACCUCUUUUAGUAGGGAAGAAGCGCAAGUGACGGUACCUGCAGAAAAAGCACCGGCUAACUACGU
Molecule: ribosomal RNA, 466 nt
Filed under: uncultured bacterium
Lineage: Bacteria
Description: bacterial SSU rRNA
Rfam family: Bacterial small subunit ribosomal RNA
Source: RNAcentral